Molecule: ribosomal RNA, 468 nt
Filed under: uncultured bacterium
Lineage: Bacteria
Description: partial 16S ribosomal RNA
Rfam family: Bacterial small subunit ribosomal RNA
Source: RNAcentral
GACGAACGCUGGCGGCGUGCUUAACACAUGCAAGUCGAACGGAAAGGCCCUGCUUUUGUGGGGUGCUCGAGUGGCGAACGGGUGAGUAACACGUGAGUAACCUGCCCUUGACUUUGGGAUAACUUCAGGAAACUGGGGCUAAUACCGGCUAGGAGCUCCUGCUGCAUGGUGGGGGUUGGAAAGUUUCGGCGGUUGGGGGUGGACUCGCGGCUUAUCAGCUUGUUGGUGGGGUAGUGGCUUACCAAGGCUUUGACGGGUAGCCGGCCUGAGAGGGUGACCGGCCACAUUGGGACUGAGAUACGGCCCAGACUCCUACGGGAGGCAGCAGUGGGGAAUAUUGCACAAUGGGCGGAAGCCUGAUGCAGUAACGCCGCGUGCGGGAUGACGGCCUUCGGGUUGUAAACCGCUUUCGCCUGUGACGAAGCGUGAGUGACGGUAAUGGGUAAAGAAGCACCGGCUAACUACGUG